GCCUGAGCUUGGCUGUGAGGAACAAGUUGUGCAGCAGGAGGCUGCUGCCACACUGCAACAGGUUGCCCAGGGAGGGAGCUGAGUGCCCAUGGCUGGAGCUGUUGGAGACUGACCAGAAGAGCACCACAGCAGCUGUGCUGUUCAGGAGGCUGGGGCAGAGCCCCUCGAAGGCAGAGCAGCUCCAAGCAAUCAGGAGCUGCUCUCUGCGUGCAUCCUCAGAGGCCAAGGACAGAUCUGCUCACAGACUCACCUCAGGAGGCCCUGGCAGGCAGUUCUGUCCCUUGCCUGAACGCUGCUCCGUGCUGAAGCCUGGCAGCCUGCAGAGCCCUCAAGUGAAAGCAGCUCUUGAAAUAAGACUUCACUGGAAGUAAAAG
Molecule: long non-coding RNA, 374 nt
Organism: Pogoniulus pusillus (Red-fronted tinkerbird)
Lineage: Eukaryota; Metazoa; Chordata; Aves; Piciformes; Lybiidae
Exons: 3
Source: RefSeq, a predicted model, not a curated record